RNAcentral lists this ribosomal RNA (499 nucleotides) under uncultured bacterium. RNAcentral describes it as "partial 16S ribosomal RNA". It matches the Rfam family "Bacterial small subunit ribosomal RNA", at positions 29 to 523 of the family's 1533-position model. The record is from RNAcentral.
AUUGAACGCUGGCGGCAUGCCUUACACAUGCAAGUCGAACGGCAGCACGGGAGCAAUCCUGGUGGCGAGUGGCGAACGGGUGAGUAAAGUAGCGGAACGUGCCCCGUCGUGGGGGAUAACGUAGCGAAAGUUACGCUAAUACCGCAUACGAUCUAUGGCUGAAAGCGGGGGAUCGCAAGACCUCGCGCGAUUGGAGCGGCCGAUAUCAGAGUAGGAAGUUGGUGGGGUAAAGGCUCACCAAGCCGACGAUCUGUAGCUGGUCUGAGAGGACGACCAGCCACACUGGGACUGAGACACGGCCCAGACUCCUACGGGAGGCAGCAGUGGGGAAUUUUGGACAAUGGGCGAAAGCCUGAUCCAGCCAUGCCGCGUGCAGGAUGAAGGCCUUCGGGUUGUAAACUGCUUUUGUACGGAACGAAAAGGUUUGCCUAAUAAGCUGAGCUCAUGACGGUACCGUAAGAAUAAGCACCGGCUAACUGCGUGCCAGCCGCCGCGGUAA